UUGGAUUUAACUGGGUCUUGAACCAAACUGAAUGAGUCAGACCAAAUAAAAAAACCAAACUAAAGGCCACGAUAAGAUUUCUGUGGCAAACUGCACAAAUACCCACUACGACAAAUGUCAAAUAUAGUGAAGACAACUCAUAUCUGCACAUGUGGCUGUUUGCCUGUGGAUCUAAAUCUUACUAGAACGACACACAUUUUGAAUGGCGAGGAUCUGGUGCAAAGGUGUGUUUUUGGAACAGUAUAAUAUGGGUACCAAGAGUUGAAACACACACGAGAAACUUACACCACACGUUGACGAAUCUAGAACGAAGGAAAAUUCUUGGACGACAGAUCUGAAACAGCGGCGAGGAUACCAAGAGUCACCGGAUGACAUAAAAUGGAUGGAAACCCACACCACAUGAACUUAGUUGCCGAUAAGUCGCAUGUCAGACGAAACCCACACCAUGCGAACAAAAAUACCAAGAGAGAUGCAUGAUUGAGCCACGACUUCGAGGAUGAGGAACUUGAGCAAAUUAUACAUUUUGGAGCGUAUGUGCCAUUUGUCGUCGAUUUUGAGCUAUUAAAAGUGAUAUCAAAAGAGUGCCACGAUGCUUUGAAUUUUGGCGGACACGCACCCAACGCGCUCGUAGGGCACGAUGGAGAGGGUGUAUCGUUAGGCGACUCUGCACGUGGGGUAGUGCUUCAGUAACAAAAGCCAGAGCAUCGCUGCACUUGACAGCAGUUCUGCGACACCCGACCCAUUUCUAUAAAUACUUCUUGCUCUUUUAGGGUUUUUUAAAUGCUAGUUUGGAUGGAGGCUGAGGAGAGACUAAAAGUCCUUCUUCCUUUAUCUUUUUAGCAUUUUAGCCUAGGAUUAGCUUAGGGUUUUUGGGUUGUAAUCAUGGAUUAGAGCUCUUCACCUCUUCCUUCUUUGUCUAUGCAGAAAUUAGAUAAGUGUUCUUGUUCUUUGGAGUAAAUCUAUGUAACUACUUAAGAAUUGUUUUAUAUAACUCUAUAUUGAUUUAUGCAUCUUUGAAUCUAUUAAAAAUAUUUUAUGUA
This is a long non-coding RNA of Benincasa hispida (wax gourd), 1040 nucleotides long. RefSeq lists it as uncharacterized. NCBI's taxonomy places the organism in Eukaryota, Viridiplantae, Streptophyta, Magnoliopsida, Cucurbitales, Cucurbitaceae. The record is from RefSeq and is a predicted model, not a curated record.